AGAGUUUGAUCCUGGCUUAGGAUGAACGCUAGCGGCAGGCCUAACACAUGCAAGUCGAGGGGCAGCAGGGAGUAGCAAUACUCUGCUGGCGACCGGCGCACGGGUGCGUAACGCGUAUGCAACCUACCCGUAACAGGGGUAUAACGGAGGGAAACUUCCACUAAUCCCCCAUAUUGUCGAGGGACCGCAUGGUCUUUUGACGAAAGCCUUGGUGGUUACGGAUGGGCAUGCGUGGCAUUAGGUAGUCGGCGGGGUAACGGCCCACCGAGCCAACGAUGCCUAGGGGAGCUGAGAGGCUAAUCCCCCACACUGGUACUGAGACACGGACCAGACUCCUACGGGAGGCAGCAGUGAGGAAUAUUGGUCAAUGGGCGGAAGCCUGAACCAGCCAUGCCCGCGUGAGGGAAGGAGGCCCUACGGGUCGUAAACCUCUUUUACACGGGAGCAAUAAGGUUCGUGCGCGGACCGAUGAGAGUACCGUGGGAAUAAGCAUCGGCUAACUCCGUGCCAGCCGCUGC
Molecule: ribosomal RNA, 518 nt
Filed under: uncultured bacterium
Lineage: Bacteria
Description: bacterial SSU rRNA
Rfam family: Bacterial small subunit ribosomal RNA
Source: RNAcentral